Molecule: ribosomal RNA, 444 nt
Filed under: Triticum aestivum (bread wheat)
Lineage: Eukaryota; Viridiplantae; Streptophyta; Magnoliopsida; Poales; Poaceae
Description: partial small subunit ribosomal RNA
Source: RNAcentral
AUGGCGCAAGAGAGUUGGAAAGAGGCAGAGGAUACGGGUGUCCACGCGCCCGAGGCUCCGAUAAUGUGCAUCAACAACUGUGGCUUCUUCGGGAACCGGAUGACAGAGAACAUGUGCUCAAAGUGUUACCGAGACACUGUCAAGGCCAAGAGCAUGGCCCUUCUAGCAAUGGUGGCAGAGAUCAAGGAUGAAGCGUCUGCCUCAGCCAAAGAAGGAAAACGAGUAGCCGAGGAAGAGGCGCCGAAGCCACCCAGCAACCGCUGCCUGUCGUGCCGGAAGAAGGUCGGGCUGACGGGGUUCAAGUGCCGCUGCGGAGACACCUUCUGCUCGAUGCACCGCUACGCCGACGCGCACGAUUGCAAGUUCGACUACAAGCAGGCCGGCAGGGAGCAGAUCGCCCAGCAGAACCCGGUCGUCAAGGCUGACAAGGUCACCAGAUUCUGA